UUGCGUAGGUGGUCAGUAAAGUGAAUAGUGAAAUCCGGGGGCUCAACCUCACGGGCUAUUAUUCAAACUCACUGACUCGAGAGUAGCAGAGGUAACUGGAAUUUCUGAAGUAGGGGUAAUAUCCGUAGAUAUCAGAAGGAACACCAAUGGCGUAGGCAGGUUACUGGGCUAUUUCUGACACUGAGGCACGAAAGCGUGGGGAGCGAACC
This 209-nucleotide ribosomal RNA is filed under the name uncultured bacterium. RNAcentral's name for it is "partial 16S ribosomal RNA". It matches the Rfam family "Bacterial small subunit ribosomal RNA", at positions 567 to 774 of the family's 1533-position model. The record is from RNAcentral.